Molecule: unclassified non-coding RNA, 263 nt
Filed under: plant metagenome
Description: partial contains small subunit ribosomal RNA, internal transcribed spacer 1, and 5.8S ribosomal RNA
Source: RNAcentral
UUUCCGCAGGUGAACCUGCGGAAGGAUCAUUAUUGUAUAACCGAGGUGCGUGGGCUGUCGCUGACCCGAAAGGUCGUGCACGCCCGAGUGCCCUCACACACAUCCAUCUCACCCCUAUGUGCACCACCGCGUGGGUCCCCCUUUGGCUUGUUCGGAGGGGGGCUUACGUUUUCACACAAACUUUGUAUGCAGUGUAGAAUGUAUUUUUUGUUUUUGCGAUCACGCAAUCAAUACAACUUUCAACAACGGAUCUCUUGGCUCUC